Molecule: ribosomal RNA, 874 nt
Filed under: uncultured bacterium
Lineage: Bacteria
Description: bacterial SSU rRNA
Rfam family: Bacterial small subunit ribosomal RNA
Source: RNAcentral
AAUGAACGCUGGCGGCGUGCCUAACACAUGCAAGUCGAGCGCGAAAGUGACUUCGGUCACGAGUAGAGCGGCGAACGGGUGAGUAACACGUGGAUAAUCUACCUGGAAUUGGGGGACAACUUGGGGAAACUCGAGCUAAUACCGCAUACGCUCGCAGCUCCUCGGAGCUGCGUGGAAAGAUAGCCUCUUCUUGAAAGCUGUCGAUUUCAGAGGGAUCCGCGUCUGAUUAGCUAGUUGGUGGGGUAAUGGCUCACCAAGGCGACGAUCAGUAGCCGGCCUGAGAGGGUGAUCGGCCACACUGGAACUGAGACACGGUCCAGACUCCUACGGGAGGCAGCAGUGGGGAAUAUUGGACAAUGGGGGAAACCCUGAUCCAGCAACGCCGCGUGGAGGAUGAAGGUCUUCGGAUUGUAAACUCCUGUCAGGUGGGACGAAGGGCUGCGGGUUAAUAUCCCGUAGUCUUGACGGUACUACCAGAGGAAGCCCCGGCUAACUCCGUGCCAGCAGCCGCGGUAAUACGGAGGGGGCAAGCGUUAUUCGGAAUUAUUGGGCGUAAAGGGCGCGUAGGCGGCCUGAUAAGUCAGUGGUGAAAUCCCUCGGCUCAACCGAGGAACUGCCUCUGAAACUGUCAGGCUUGAGGCCGGGAGAGGGUAGUGGAAUUCCCAGUGUAGCGGUGAAAUGCGUAGAUAUUGGGAGGAACACCCGUGGCGAAGGCGGCUACCUGGACCGGUUCUGACGCUGAGGCGCGAAAGUGUGGGGAGCAAACAGGAUUAGAUACCCUGGUAGUCCACGCCGUAAACGAUGUCAACUAGCCGUUGGAAUCCUUGAGAUUUUAGUGGCGCAGCUAACGCAUUAAGUUGACCGCCUGGGGAGU